GAACACUUUCCAACAUAAAAACAUUUCUAAAUCAAUGGAAGAAUGCAAAAUCGCCCUCAAAUCCCAUGAACCCUAAGAAUUGCCCCCCAAAAUAUAUUUCUUCUAUACAACAACUUCUUCUAUGGUGAAAGUUCAGAGACGCAUUGGAUGACCCUAAUUUUAAAUUGUUGGCUGCAUCAUAUCCGUAUUUUCCUUAAAGGGUUUGAAUUAAGUGGGUUAGAUACUUUGUUUAAUAACAUCAACUGAAUGCUUGUGAUGCAAAGACUGGAAAUUUGAAUAUCAUCAUUGCAAGGGUGGUUUUCCUUCGGUUGAACAAACUGGAACGUCACUGAGGCAAUUAUCCUUGGCGUUUCUUUGUCCUGAACAUCUUGAUUAAUUGAUAUACAUCCAUGAUUGUUGUAGGAAAAAUUGUCUUUGCUAUUAGUGCCACGACAUAAACAUUUUCCCUGUAUUGUAGUGGGAAAAAUUGGCGGCUUGUGUUGAAUGUGUAUUGCAACUAUAAUUGAAUGGAAUGGAAUUUAAUCCUUCAUGUGUUUUAAGGAUUUAUUCUUAAA
Olea europaea var. sylvestris is the source of this 554-nucleotide long non-coding RNA. RefSeq lists it as uncharacterized. The record is from RefSeq and is a predicted model, not a curated record. The transcript is spliced from 2 exons. NCBI's taxonomy places the organism in Eukaryota, Viridiplantae, Streptophyta, Magnoliopsida, Lamiales, Oleaceae.